This 406-nucleotide ribosomal RNA is filed under the name uncultured Burkholderiales bacterium. Its description in RNAcentral is "bacterial SSU rRNA". It matches the Rfam family "Bacterial small subunit ribosomal RNA", at positions 974 to 1384 of the family's 1533-position model. The record is from RNAcentral. Lineage: Bacteria; Pseudomonadati; Pseudomonadota; Betaproteobacteria; Burkholderiales.
CCCACCUUUGACAUGUACGGAAGUUACCAGAGAUGGUUUCGUGCUCGAAAGAGAACCGUAACACAGGUGCUGCAUGGCUGUCGUCAGCUCGUGUCGUGAGAUGUUGGGUUAAGUCCCGCAACGAGCGCAACCCUUGUCAUUAGUUGCUACGAAAGGGCACUCUAAUGAGACUGCCGGUGACAAACCGGAGGAAGGUGGGGAUGACGUCAAGUCCUCAUGGCCCUUAUAGGUGGGGCUACACACGUCAUACAAUGGCUGGUACAGAGGGUUGCCAACCCGCGAGGGGGAGCUAAUCCCAUAAAACCAGUCGUAGUCCGGAUCGCAGUCUGCAACUCGACUGCGUGAAGUCGGAAUCGCUAGUAAUCGCGGAUCAGAAUGUCGCGGUGAAUACGUUCCCGGGUCUUGU